UAAAAGGAGUGAAUUUCUGGUUUUGAGUAAUGAAAGCAAUUUAAUGUGUAGUGAAAUUGCAGCAAAAUAAAACAACACUUUACCUUUCAGCAACGUCUCCUUGAAGCUUACUCCAGUACUGGCGGAAUAUUCACAGCCUAAAAUAUUCAUACAACCCCAGCGGGUAUACAAUUGGAGCUCUGGAUAUAUUCCUUCUAGAUUUUUUACCCACGACUUUUAUUAUCCAGUGCUCUUCAGUGAUCCCAAGUGUUUGAUUACAGGAUUCAUUGGAGGCAAAGGCCAGGCCUUUUGUAUGCUGUGGGUGAUGGAAGAAGCUAUGGACAGGCCUCUGCGUCAUUGCAGCUUUACACUUCUUACCAUGUGUGGCAAGCCAAUAUUUAAUGCUUACGCUUAUGACACCAGAGAAAAAGCUUGCGGAUUCCGUCGUAGAAGGAAACAAGCCGUAUUAAAAGGAGUAUAAUUUUUUGCUGUUUAUUAUUUGGCAGCACAAGGUCUUGUAAAAGAAAUUGACAAACUUUAAGUGGAAGAGAUUUUCGGCGCAUAGGCUAGAAAACUUUGGGGUAGCUUGAAAGCGUAUUACUAGCAAGUAAGUUUUAAAAUUGUGCGACAAUAAGCUUGCCAGCUUUGUGCUGGGUGAAUAUAAACAUUCCAUGGCACCACACGUCCCAUAGCAUGGAAUAAAGAAAAAAUUGUCAGCCCUUCCACUGGGGUGGAGAUGGAAGACCAGCGAAGCUGUACUACGGUGGGAAUUAUGUGUUUUCAAUUAUGACUAUUAAGA
This is a long non-coding RNA of Dermacentor silvarum, 778 nucleotides long. RefSeq lists it as uncharacterized. The record is from RefSeq and is a predicted model, not a curated record. The transcript has 3 exons. Lineage: Eukaryota; Metazoa; Arthropoda; Arachnida; Ixodida; Ixodidae.